RNAcentral lists this unclassified non-coding RNA (910 nucleotides) under Rhagoletis pomonella (apple maggot). RNAcentral's name for it is "mitochondrial pyruvate carrier 2-like, transcript variant X1". The record is from RNAcentral. Lineage: Eukaryota; Metazoa; Arthropoda; Insecta; Diptera; Tephritidae.
UCAACUGUCACCAUGACUUUUUUCUACUUGCCUCCAUAUAGUCCGAAAACACUGUGCGACGGGUAACGAAUAAUAUGGCAUGAUGAACUGUAUGAGAUUGGAAAAUUUGUUUGUGUCUUCUUGGUUCAAAUCGUCUGUUCGCAUUUCAGGUGACGACAUAUUCAGUCAGUAAAUACAAUUCGAACCACUGUGCAAUAAGUCGCAAGCUUUGGGAGAACCACGUGUGGCAUAACAUUCAACAGAUACAAUAUAUAUAUGUGUGUAUGUACAUAUGUAUGUAUAUACCCAGUCGGCAAAAUGAGGAGCGUUUCUAAAUGAACGCCUUUUGGACGGGAUUUUUCAAUAAGACCUCUUUGGAAGGUUUAUUAGAAAAUCUUCCAUUAGCGUUGCCACACGAAGGUAGCCGAGAAGGUGGGUUUCCAUGGCAGCGAGUGUUAAAUAAGUAAUAAAAAAAACGCAGUAGAAGCAUCGGUGUAUGUCGUCCGCAAAGUAAAACUCAAAAGGAGUAAAGAAUCGAGCAUAGAAGGCCCAUCGCUUGAAAAGAUCCGAAAUAAGGUCUCCCAGAAGUUCUCUUAUUUUCUAAUUUUGCUGGCUGGUACUCAGUUCUUCAUUGUCGAGUCAGAGGUGAGGAAGUCAUCAUAUCAGCAAGUGUUCAGCUAGUACCUGCUCCUUAUUAGAAAUUUAGAAAAUUUUACUGAGCUGAGCAUAGUGAAAGUAGUAAAUAGAAAAUAAUAAAAGAAAAGAUGGCUUCCUCUGCACCAUCAGCGUCAGCACCUCCACCACCACCACCACCGCCGCCAUCAAGUGCCACUACAGCUGGCAAAGGACUUCCUAAUAAAAUUUACAAUGCUCUAGUUGGCUCAGUGGACAAACAUGUGCCUGAAAAGCUGCGUCCACUGUGGCAGCAUCC